GACAGAAGAUGGCGGAUGAGCAGCGUGCAGGGUUUUCUCCCUGUGGCUCACUCUCUCUUACUGUGCUGGGCGGUUGCUUCCUCUCCUGCUGCCCUUGGGAGUCAGACUCCAGGUUCUUCAGCCUGUGGCCCCUGGGGCUCUCGGGCCUUGGAGGACUGACUAGGAGCACACGGUGGGCCUCUCUGGUUUGGGGGCCUGGGACGUGGCGGAGCCCUGCAGCUUCUGUGCGGCCUGUUCUGGGCGUCGCGUUGAAACGCCAGCCAGUUCCCCAAGUAAGCUCCCUGCACACACGCCUGAUAGCCUGUUGGUUCCGUCCUUCUGCGGGAUUUUCACUACCACUCUCUAACUCACACACAGCAGAAAGAGCAUACGGGAGAGAUGAAGCAGUCCACUCCAAGAACAUUCUCAUCCUACGGAUUACGAGUCCCCCUGGGAUUACAGGAGUGUUGAAGAAAUGUUGUGACACAUCAGAACACCGCGAAAUACAUGGACACUUUCAAAUCAUGGAAGACUCAAGAAGAAACUUUAAUUAGAAGGAAACAGGAAUAUUCAACGGACUCCCAAGACAAGAAUAUAGAUGUAUAUCAGAAGCUGAGCAUUGAAGUUGCUACUAGAGUCUCCCCGAGCCCUUAUUGGAUUCUCACUUCAGGAGCUGCUUUCAUUAUUUUGCCUCUCAGUUUCAAAAUAGACAAAGAACUCAACACUCAACAAUAAGAAAAUGAACAACUUGGUUGAAAAAUGGGCCAAAGACCUUAACAGACACCUCACCAAAGAUGAUAGACAGGUAGGAAAUAAACAUAUAAAAAGAUGCUGCACGUCAGAUGUCAUCAGAAAAGUGCAAUUAAAACAACAAUGAGACACCACUAUGCAUCUCCUAGAAUGACCAAAACCCAGAACACUGACACCAAAUACUCUUGAGGAUGUGGAGCAAUUCUCAUUGCUGAUGGGAAUGCAAAAUGGUACAGUCUUUUGGAAGACAGCUUGGAGGUUUCUUAUAAAGCUAAACUUGGAUUUACCAUACCAUCUACCAGCAGUGCUCCUUGGUAUUUACCCAGUGGAGCUGAAAAUGUAUGUCCCCACAGAAAAACAGGCACGUGGACGCUUACAGAAGUUUUACACAUAAUUUCCAAGACUUGGAAGCAACCAAGAUGUCCUUCAGUCGGUGAAUGGAAGAAUAAACUGUGGAACAAUCAGACCAUGGAAUAUUAUUCAGUGCUGAAUAGAAAUGAGCUAAGAAAGCCAUAAAAAAACAUGGAGGAAAAAAUGUUCAACACCAAGACUGAACCCUAAUGUAACCUGUGGACUUUGGAUGAUAAUGACGCAUCAAUGCAAGUCAUAAAUUUGGAAAAAUGUACCUCUCCUGGGAAGGAGUUGAUAAUGAGGUCAGGAGGGCAUCUUUCUCGGCUCUUCACUGUGAGAACCUUGUGGGAUUCCUGAAGAUGAAACCAUGAACGCGAGGGAGUCUUGCUAAAACUGCAGCAUUCGAGAGGUUUUCACUCAUGCUGGCUCACACUUGUCCUCUAGCAAUUCAUCAAAAUUACCACGACAAAGAAGACAGAAAAUACUACACACUACCCAGAGAUUGAAACUGAAGGUGUGAACAACAGAGAAAAGAGAGGGCAAAGAAAAGGAAAACAAAGAAGACGUGGGAUAUGAAAGGUGUAUGCCAUGUGUGGACAUCAAGAAAUGUUUCAGCUCGCACUUCUGCCACCAAUUGAGCCUGGAACCUCACUACUUGGAGUUGGGGGGAGGGCAGUGCUCAUUCAUCACCUGUGAAAAUAGGGAUUGAGAGUUCCCUAACUUUGCCAUUUUUCCUCAAGCACUGGCAUUGGUCUUCUGAAUGUCAGGCUCUGUAUAAGUGAGUCCUCAGCUGAGCCACAGGCUCUGCAUUCCUGGCAGUCCACACACUUCAUAUCCUUUGUUUAUGCUGCUCAUUUUGGAAUUCAAACAGGUUGGUGGGGCACAUUUCAACAGAUAAUGACACACACUGACUGCUCAUGAGCUAUUUUAUGGUGUGAGAAUGUUGUGAUGUUAUGAAAUGCGGAGGCAUUAAAACAUGGGGACAUUUUCUAGAAGAUCCUUAGCAGAGAGUACAGAAGACUAAGGUCCAAAUCUCUGAAAUGAUGUUUUCCAAAUUAUUGCACAGCUAUGUCAAAGUACCUUGAUCCAGUUAAUGUUAACAAAUAAAAAAUUAUGAAAUGUUAUUUUCUAGGUAUGGAUAGUAGUGGAUAGUAGUAGAUCUGUUGUGUAGUGGAGAUUACUUAGGAAGAAUAAAUUUCAACUUUACCAAGAAAGUACUACAUUAAUUGCAUUAGGGAAUUGUGAAUUGCAUUAGGAAAAUGCUCAUUCUUCUUUCAAUAGCCAAUAUCUGGAUACUAUACUCUCUUGAAUUUCUAAGAUUUGCAUCCAAUAUUCUAUAAUUAGCUUUCCAGUUUAUUGAAUGAUUUAAUUUACAUACAAAUAUUUUCUAAUAUAUUCCCUGUAAAAUAGUUUAAAAAAUUAAACGUUUCUCUAAUUACACAUUCCUCCCUAGCUGAUACAAUUUCAUUUAUUUGCUUACUUUCCCAGCUGGACAUUCAGAAAUUUUUUACUCAUAUUGUCUUCAAUUGCAUAUUUGCCAGUUUCUAGCUUUUAUUUUAUUUUUUAUAUCCAUUUUGUUCUAGGUGUGGAAAUUGCUAAGUGUAGAGCUUAAUAAUAUUUCACCAGAAAGAUAUGUGUCUAACUCCCUCAUGAAGAAAUAGUAUGUUACCAACACUCCCAAAUUUCCUUUGAUGUCAAAAAGCAUUAUUUUUCUCGAGUCUUUUUUUGUGUUGGUAUGAUAUAUAAACGAAAUCAUAUACACAUUUAUUUUUUCAUUUAGAUACUUUCCUUCAGUAUUAUGAUUGAGACAUUAACCUCAGUUUAAGUAUUUAUGUCAUUUUCAUUGCUAGUUCAUUGUAAGAAGCACACCUUUUAUUUAUCUAUUCCCUUAAUACAUAUUCCUGUUUCCAGUGUUAGAUUAAUGCAAAUAAGGCUAUCGUGAGCAUUCUUUUACAUGUUUUUCAGUGUACAAAUAUAUGCUGAGAGAGGAAUUACUGAAUCACAGAAAGCAGUAUAUGCAGCUAUAAUAGAUAUUACCAUAUCCACCAAACGUUUAGCAUUUCCUGUUUCAUUUUAUUCACUCUGGGGGAUGUAUAGAGAUUUCACAUUACAUUAUAAUUUAAUUUCUCUAAUGUCUAAUGAUGGGGAGCACCUUUUUCAUGUUUUUAUUGUCAAUUUGGCUAUCUUCUUUUUCUAAAUGCAUGUUCAAGUAUUUCAUCCAUUUUUAUUGGUCUUCUUUUUUUACUGGUUUAAUUGAAUUCUUUACAUAUUAUGGAUAUGAGCUCUUUGUCAAUUUUAUAUGUAUGCUUAUAUUCACUCCUACUUCACUCUGCAGCUUGCUUUUUAUUUUUAUGCUUUUAAUAAUGAACAUAAUUUCUUUAUUUUAAUAAAUAUCAUUAUUUUU
Molecule: long non-coding RNA, 3484 nt
Organism: Homo sapiens (human)
Lineage: Eukaryota; Metazoa; Chordata; Mammalia; Primates; Hominidae
Product: long intergenic non-protein coding RNA 1446
Source: Ensembl